RNAcentral lists this small nucleolar RNA (154 nucleotides) under Microtus ochrogaster (prairie vole). Its description in RNAcentral is "Small nucleolar RNA SNORA73 family (ENSMOCG00000004232.1)". Lineage: Eukaryota; Metazoa; Chordata; Mammalia; Rodentia; Cricetidae. The record is from RNAcentral.
CCAAGGUUGUUAUGCCAGGAGUUAAUUCUUCCAAGAUCUGUCCUAGUGGCAGAGGGCUUUACCCUAUCAGGAGGCAUCCCUGUCCACAGUGUUAGAGAGGAAGCUGGGCCUGGAGUCUGUGCAUUUAAACUCAAAAUGUAAAAAGUAUACAAUA